Molecule: long non-coding RNA, 219 nt
Filed under: Elaeis guineensis (African oil palm)
Lineage: Eukaryota; Viridiplantae; Streptophyta; Magnoliopsida; Arecales; Arecaceae
Description: long non-coding RNA (EGUI_LNC067269)
Source: RNAcentral
GUGGUCCAUGGUAGAUAAAGAAGGAAGGGACAUCCAAGAGUUGGAUGCCCCUUGUCUUGCCUUGUUUGGAUAAUCCUUGACUAGGUAUUUGACCUAGAUAAGGACUCUUCAUAUCUCUCUAUUUAAAAUAAAUUUAUUCAUAAAAUUUUUAUAGAACAUAGAGCAUUGAGAGACCUUUGGGGCUUCCAAAAAGCAAGGAGAAAGAGUCUUAGGGCAUGG